RNAcentral lists this ribosomal RNA (468 nucleotides) under uncultured bacterium. RNAcentral describes it as "partial 16S ribosomal RNA". It matches the Rfam family "Bacterial small subunit ribosomal RNA", at positions 28 to 507 of the family's 1533-position model. The record is from RNAcentral.
GACGAACGCUGGCGGCGUGCUUAACACAUGCAAGUCGAACGGAAAGGCCCUGCUUUUGUGGGGUGCUCGAGUGGCGAACGGGUGAGCAACACGUGAGUAACCUGCCCUUGACUUUGGGAUAACUUCAGGAAACUGGGGCUAAUACCGGAUAGGAGCUCCUGCUGCAUGGUGGGGGUUGGAAAGUUUCGGCGGUUGGGGAUGGACGCGCGGCUUAUCAGCUUGUUGGUGGGGUAGUGGCUUACCAAGGCUUUGACGGGUAGCCGGCCUGAGAGGGUGACCGGCCACAUUGGGACUGAGAUACGGCCCAGACUCCUACGGUAGGCAGCAGUGGGGAAUAUUGCACAAUGGGCGGAAGCCUGAUGCAGCAACGCCGCGUGCGGGAUGACGGCCUUCGGGUUGUAAACCGCUUUCGCCUGUGACGGAGCGUGAGUGACGGUAAUGGGUAAAGAAGCACCGGCUAACUACGUG